Arvicola amphibius (Eurasian water vole) is the source of this 558-nucleotide long non-coding RNA. RefSeq lists it as uncharacterized. NCBI's taxonomy places the organism in Eukaryota, Metazoa, Chordata, Mammalia, Rodentia, Cricetidae. The transcript has 2 exons. The record is from RefSeq and is a predicted model, not a curated record.
GGCCUGGGUUGAUAAGGCCUUAUGAGGUAGAACUGGUUUUGACCUAGUAAGAGUUCAAUUGUUUUCUCUAUUCACAUAAUGAGGAGGGAGGGGACUAGAAAACAGUACUGCAGUAUCAGACCUGGGAUUUCGGGUGGUCCAUGGAAGCAAACUGGUGAACAGAGGCCAGGAGGCCUUUGUUUGGGGACAUGAGCAGAGACUUGAGGAGGGACAUCUGUGGGAGUAACUGGUGAGACAGAGGCCUUUCUCUAAGAGACACCAGCUUUCCUGGGAAGAAGGGGAGCUAAGAGAAAAACCUCUCAGUCUCCAGUGGAAGACCAGGGGUGAAUGAAGAUUUAGGCGAAGAUGGGAAAGCAUAGAAGAUAAAAACUCAAAUCUCUGGUGCACGUUCAGACCCAGAGAUGGGCCUCUCACUGCUAAACAUUUGUCAAGGAGAUCCCUCAUUAAUGUUGAUGCGUUUAAAUGUGUUUGCACUGUAUUUCUUAUUUGUUUUGAGAGUCCAACUAAUUGUCAGCAUUGAAAUAAAUAAAUAUGUGUGAUACAUGUAUGUAAAAACGA